Molecule: ribosomal RNA, 503 nt
Filed under: Russula vesca
Lineage: Eukaryota; Fungi; Basidiomycota; Agaricomycetes; Russulales; Russulaceae
Description: eukaryotic LSU rRNA
Rfam family: 5.8S ribosomal RNA (bases 151-304)
Source: RNAcentral
GCAACUCUCUCAUAUCCAUCUCACCCCUUUGUGCAUUGCCGCGUGGGUCCCCUUUUGGCUUGUUCCGAGGGGGACCUGCGUUUUUACAUAGACACCCUUUGAAUGCAUGUGUAGAACGUCUUACUUUUUGCGAUCACACGCAAUCAAUACAACUUUCAACAACGGAUCUCUUGGCUCUCGCAUCGAUGAAGAACGCAGCGAAAUGCGAUACGUAAUGUGAAUUGCAGAAUUCAGUGAAUCAUCGAAUCUUUGAACGCACCUUGCGCCCCUUGGUAUUCCGAGGGGCACACCCGUUUGAGUGUCGUGAAUACUCUCAACCUUCUUGGUUUCUUUGACCAUGAAGGCUUGGACUUUGGAGGUUUUUCUUGCUGGCCUCUUUUGAAGCCAGCUCCUCCUAAAUGAAUGGGUGGGGUCCGCUUUGCUGAUCCUCGACGUGAUAAGCAUUUCUUCUACGUCUCAGUGUCAGCUCGGAACCUGCUUUCCAACCGUCUUUGGACAAAGAC